AAGUUGCAGUGUGAUGGAUGGCUGUUGGUCUGGGCCCUGCUGGUCCACGGCGGACAUCAAGUUGUGCUCUGUAUGGGAUAACUGAGGUGAUCUGGGCUCAUCACUCUGCGAACUCGCCAAUAGUGCCAGUGGUGGCUGGGGUGACACUGCCGAAAGUCUUCGCCUGGGUGGGGAUGAUGGAGGUGCUGAAUCCGAGCCAAGACGCCGUGUCUUAGUUGGCCUCCUGGAAUAUGUGACUACAGUGAAGACUUACCUGCAAUCCCAGCCUCAUCCUGACUUGUCUGAGGCCUGUCUGGGCGGCU
Pseudophryne corroboree (corroboree frog) is the source of this 302-nucleotide long non-coding RNA. RefSeq lists it as uncharacterized. Lineage: Eukaryota; Metazoa; Chordata; Amphibia; Anura; Myobatrachidae. The transcript has 3 exons. The record is from RefSeq and is a predicted model, not a curated record.